AGUGAACGCUGGCGGUAGGCCUAACACAUGCAAGUCGAACGGCAGCACAGUAAGAGCUUGCUCUUACGGGUGGCGAGUGGCGGACGGGUGAGGAAUACAUCGGAAUCUACUUUUUCGUGGGGGAUAACGUAGGGAAACUUACGCUAAUACCGCAUACGACCUACGGGUGAAAGCAGGGGAUCUUCGGACCUUGCGCGAUUGAAUGAGCCGAUGUCGUAUUAGCUAGUUGGCGGGGUAAAGGCCCACCAAGGCGACGAUCCGUAGCUGGUCUGAGAGGAUGAUCAGCCACACUGGAACUGAGACACGGUCCAGACUCCUACGGGAGGCAGCAGUGGGGAAUAUUGGACAAUGGGCGCAAGCCUGAUCCAGCCAUACCGCGUGGGUGAAGAAGGCCUUCGGGUUGUAAAGCCCUUUUGUUGGGAAAGAACAGCAGCAGGUUAAUACCCCGCUGUUCUGACGGUACCCAAAGAAUAAGCACCGGCUAACUUCGUG
Molecule: ribosomal RNA, 492 nt
Filed under: uncultured bacterium
Lineage: Bacteria
Description: partial 16S ribosomal RNA
Rfam family: Bacterial small subunit ribosomal RNA
Source: RNAcentral